GACGAACGCUGGCGGCGUGCCUAAUACAUGCAAGUAGGACGCAGUUGCGAACGGGUGAGUAACGCGUAGGUAACUACCUAUCAUAGGGGGAUAACUAUUGGUAACGAUAGCUAAUACCGCAUACUAGUAGAUGGACCUGCGUUGUAUUAGCUAGUAGGUAGGGUAAUGGCCUAUCUAGGCAACGAUUCAUAGCCGACCUGAGGGGGUGGUCGGGCACACUGGGAACUGGGAACGGCCCCGACUCCUACCGGGGGCAGCAGUAGGGAAACUUCGGCAAUGGGGGGAACCCUGACCGAGCAAAGCCGCGGGAGUGAAGAAGGUUUUCGGAUCGUAAAGCUCUGUUGUUAAGGAAGCGGUACUUAACCAGAAAGCGACGGCUAACUACGUGCCAGCAGCCGCGGUAAUUC
Molecule: ribosomal RNA, 407 nt
Filed under: uncultured bacterium
Lineage: Bacteria
Description: partial 16S ribosomal RNA
Rfam family: Bacterial small subunit ribosomal RNA
Source: RNAcentral